UACAGAGGUCUCAAGCGUUGUUCGGAUUCAUUGGGCGUAAAGGGUGCGUAGGCGGCUGGGUAAGUCAGAGGUGAAAUUCCAGGGCUCAACCUUGGGACUGCCUUUGAUACUGUCCGGCUUGAGUACUGGAGAGGAGACUGGAAUUCACGGUGUAGCAGUGAAAUGCGUAGAUAUCGUGAGGAAGACCAGUGGCGAAGGCGAGUCUCUGGACAGUUACUGACGCUGAGGCACGAAGGCCAGGGGAGCAAACGGG
RNAcentral lists this ribosomal RNA (253 nucleotides) under uncultured Spartobacteria bacterium. RNAcentral describes it as "partial 16S ribosomal RNA". It matches the Rfam family "Bacterial small subunit ribosomal RNA", at positions 524 to 776 of the family's 1533-position model. The record is from RNAcentral. Lineage: Bacteria; Pseudomonadati; Verrucomicrobiota; Spartobacteria.